CGGGACAACCCCGAGAAAUCGGGGCUAAUACCGGAUGUGGCUGCGGGAAGACAUCUUCCUGCAAUUAAACCCAGCAAUGGGCUUAGGGAUGGGCUUGCGUUCUAUCAGCUAGUUGGUGAGGUAAUGGCUCACCAAGGCAAUGACGGAUAGCUGGUCUGAGAGGAUGAUCAGUCACAAGGGAACUGAGACACGGUCCCUACUCCUACGGGAGGCAGCAGUGAGGAAUUUUCCGCAAUGGGCGAAAGCCUGACGGAGCGACGUCGUGUGUGGGAUNAANUUUUUCGGAACGUAAACCACUGUCAGAUGGGAAGAUAUUGACGGUACCAUCAGAGGAAGGCCCGGCUAACUAUGUGCCAGCAGCCGCGGUAAUACAUAGGGGCCAAGCGUUGUCCGGAUUUAUUGGGUGUAAAGGGUAUGUANGCGGUCU
This 427-nucleotide ribosomal RNA is filed under the name uncultured bacterium. RNAcentral describes it as "bacterial SSU rRNA". It matches the Rfam family "Bacterial small subunit ribosomal RNA", at positions 139 to 581 of the family's 1533-position model. The record is from RNAcentral.